This 821-nucleotide unclassified non-coding RNA is filed under the name uncultured Prochlorococcus sp. RNAcentral describes it as "partial 16S-23S ribosomal RNA intergenic spacer; may also contain 16S ribosomal RNA and 23S ribosomal RNA". The stretch from base 352 to 424 matches the Rfam family "tRNA". The record is from RNAcentral. Lineage: Bacteria; Bacillati; Cyanobacteriota; Cyanophyceae; Synechococcales; Prochlorococcaceae.
UUGUGGAGGAGGACGCCGAAGGUGGGGCUAAUGACUGGGGUGAAGUCGUAACAAGGUAGCCGUACCGGAAGGUGCGGCUGGAUCACCUCCUAACAGGGAGACAAAAACUGAUCGUGAUGUCUAAGUUUUUAAUUCUUAGGCCAUGAUCCUGUCACCUUAGGUCGAUCGGUACCUCAAUUUCUUAUACUUAAGAGAACUAAUUUGGUUAUCUUAUUUAAGAUUUUCAGUUCCUAAACUUGUCUAGGUCACACCCAACAAGGGUACUCCUGGGCCAUUAGCUCAGGUGGUUAGAGCGCACCCCUGCUAAGGGUGAGGUCCCUGGUUCAAGUCCAGGAUGGCCCAUUCGGUGUUGGGGGUAUAGCUCAGUUGGUAGAGCGCCUGCUUUGCAAGCAGGAUGUCAGCGGUUCGAGUCCGCUUACCUCCACUGAUCAACCUUCUUAAUAGCGAAUCAAAGGAGAUUCUCUUUUUUGUUGUGAUUUAGACUUGUUUUGUCUGAAUGAACCUAGCUUCCUCUCAUUCCAAUUCUAAAUAUCUAGAAAAGGUUGAAAGGAUGCUGGGCUCACUGUGAUCAUUUUGAUUACAGGGACUUCAGUAGAACCUUGACAACUGCAUAGGUGAGUCUGGAAAAAUAAAGCAUCUCAUGGAUGCAUUUUCCUAUUUAAAGAAAGCAAUUUCUCUAAAUUAAAGGAAUGAUGUUUAAUUCUUGAGCAAAGAGCAUAUCUCUUUAGUCUUUUUUUGAUAUUUUCAUUAAGAGUUAGAUCAUUGAUUUAUUAAUUAAAUCAAUGAGAAUUACCUGAAGAGACUAUAUGGUCAAGCUACAA